GAUGAACGCUGGCGGCGCGCCUAACACAUGCAAGUCGAACGAUUAAAGCACCUUCGGGUGUGUAUAAAGUGGCGAACGGCUGAGUAACACGUGGGCAACCUGCCCCUUUCAUUGGGAUAGCCACGGGAAACCGUGGAUAAUACCGAAUACUUCGAGACUUCCGCAUGGAAGACUCGAGAAAGCUCCGGCGGAGAGGGAUGGGCCCGCGGCCUGUUAGCUUGUUGGUGGGGUAACGGCCUACCAAGGCAAUGAUGGGUAGCUGGGUUGAGAGGCCGACCAGCCAGAUUGGGACUGAGACACGGCCCAGACUCCUACGGGAGGCAGCAGUGGGGAAUCUUGCACAAUGGGCGGAAGCCUGAUGCAGCGACGCCGCGUGCGGGAUGAAGGCCUUCGGGUUGUAAACCGCUUUCAGCAGGGACGAGGCGAAAGUGACGGUACCGGCAGAAGAAGCCCCGGCUAACUACGUG
This 467-nucleotide ribosomal RNA is filed under the name uncultured bacterium. RNAcentral describes it as "partial 16S ribosomal RNA". It matches the Rfam family "Bacterial small subunit ribosomal RNA", at positions 28 to 507 of the family's 1533-position model. The record is from RNAcentral.